Molecule: long non-coding RNA, 994 nt
Organism: Armigeres subalbatus
Lineage: Eukaryota; Metazoa; Arthropoda; Insecta; Diptera; Culicidae
Exons: 3
Source: RefSeq, a predicted model, not a curated record
CCCGUUAUAAGAAUGGCUGGUGCUACCCAGCAAUUCCAAUAGGACAUCGAUGGAAAAUGAUUCGAUAUCUGUCAAAAUUAAUCUUGCUCUGCGAGCAGGGUUAUUUGGUAAUUAUUGAAAUGUCACUUUUAAGUUUAAUUUCAGUUUAAUUAUCCAAUUGAGACAGACCCUAAGUGUGCUCCUAAGGAACUCCAGCAGCAGGCGACUAUGACCCAGAUGUGAAUCCGGACUUUUUUUGCUCUCUCGUUCUCGGAACACUGAUCCAACGGAAUACAGGAGCUUAGCUAACCCACAGCCAGUGUAUCUGUUCUAAUAACAUAUGUAUAUUUUGGGAAAAGAUUUCCACUCAAUCAAAUAGGUAUACCUAUACCUAUACUAUAGUCACUAUGAAGUUUGCUGCGAAACGGCAAUCCUGUUUGGUCUUUGCGGCAACCAAGAAUAUCCCGAAUGCAUACUACUGGUUCAACGGUUGUUGGAGCCGGACGGUUGAAUCUAAACGGGUUACGUCGGUUGAUUAUUUUUCAUAUCAUUGCUUCGCUGAACAGACAAACAUUCGACGUUCGAGGGGACAGCACAACAAGUGUAUUCAAUAGUUGACGCGGAUAGAAUCCAAGUAUUGGACAACCAAAAUAAUCAACUGAAGAGAAUGCCUGACCCGCGGUCUGACCUAAAUCCGAUCCAUUGUCAUCUGUUGCCAGUUACGGAGUAUUUUCACAAGGAGUUUUAAAUUUCGUUACCCCAUGCUUCGAAUGCUACCCGAUAUGCCAAAUAUGUAUAUUGUUAAUACCCGAUGCUGCUAUUGGUGUGUUUCCACUCCGACCAUCAUGACUCGGUUCCAACAACUGCACUGGGGAUUAUGUUGUUGAUCAUAUGUUAUUUGUCAGUGUUCAGGUGAUUAGAAUUUGAAAGAACAUUAACUUCGCUUUGCUGUAUAGGACCGUCCGGACCGAGGUAUGCCACCCUGCCACCAUAUUCCAUCAUGUUUGUGUAUUCA